Molecule: ribosomal RNA, 253 nt
Filed under: uncultured bacterium
Lineage: Bacteria
Description: partial 16S ribosomal RNA
Rfam family: Bacterial small subunit ribosomal RNA
Source: RNAcentral
UACAGAGGGUGCAAGCGUUGUUCGGAUUUACUGGGCGUAAAGCGUACGCAGACGGCUUGGUAGGUCGGAUGUGAAAGCCCCGGGCUCAACCCGGGAAUUGCAUCCGAAACCACCUCGCUCGAGUGUGGGAGAGGGAAGCGGAAUUCCUGGUGUAGAGGUGAAAUUCGUAGAUAUCUGGAGGAACACCGGUGGCGAAGGCGGCAUUCUGGACUGUAACUGACACUGAUGAACGAAAGCCAGGGGAGCAAACGGG